UACGUAGGUGGCGAGCGUUGUCCGGAAUUACUGGGUGUAAAGGGCGUGUAGGCGGGGGUGCAAGUCAGGUGUGAAAUACCGCGGCUCAACCGCGGGGGUGCAUCUGAAACUGCAUCUCUUGAGUGCCGGAGAGGAAGGCGGAAUUCCCAGUGUAGCGGUGAAAUGCGUAGAGAUAUGGAGGAACACCAGUGGCGAAGGCGGCUCUCUGGUCUGCAACUGACGCUGAGGCGCGAAAGCGUGGGGAGCAAACAGG
RNAcentral lists this ribosomal RNA (253 nucleotides) under uncultured bacterium. RNAcentral's name for it is "partial 16S ribosomal RNA". It matches the Rfam family "Bacterial small subunit ribosomal RNA", at positions 524 to 776 of the family's 1533-position model. The record is from RNAcentral.